Molecule: ribosomal RNA, 957 nt
Filed under: Escherichia coli
Lineage: Bacteria; Pseudomonadati; Pseudomonadota; Gammaproteobacteria; Enterobacterales; Enterobacteriaceae
Description: partial 23S ribosomal RNA
Rfam family: Bacterial large subunit ribosomal RNA
Source: RNAcentral
UGUAUAAUGGGUCAGCGACUUAUAUUCUGUAGCAAGGUUAACCGAAUAGGGGAGCCGAAGGGAAACCGAGUCUUAACUGGGCGUUAAGUUGCAGGGUAUAGACCCGAAACCCGGUGAUCUAGCCAUGGGCAGGUUGAAGGUUGGGUAACACUAACUGGAGGACCGAACCGACUAAUGUUGAAAAAUUAGCGGAUGACUUGUGGCUGGGGGUGAAAGGCCAAUCAAACCGGGAGAUAGCUGGUUCUCCCCGAAAGCUAUUUAGGUAGCGCCUCGUGAAUUCAUCUCCGGGGGUAGAGCACUGUUUCGGCAAGGGGGUCAUCCCGACUUACCAACCCGAUGCAAACUGCGAAUACCGGAGAAUGUUAUCACGGGAGACACACGGCGGGUGCUAACGUCCGUCGUGAAGAGGGAAACAACCCAGACCGCCAGCUAAGGUCCCAAAGUCAUGGUUAAGUGGGAAACGAUGUGGGAAGGCCCAGACAGCCAGGAUGUUGGCUUAGAAGCAGCCAUCAUUUAAAGAAAGCGUAAUAGCUCACUGGUCGAGUCGGCCUGCGCGGAAGAUGUAACGGGGCUAAACCAUGCACCGAAGCUGCGGCAGCGACGCUUAUGCGUUGUUGGGUAGGGGAGCGUUCUGUAAGCCUGCGAAGGUGUACUGUGAGGUAUGCUGGAGGUAUCAGAAGUGCGAAUGCUGACAUAAGUAACGAUAAAGCGGGUGAAAAGCCCGCUCGCCGGAAGACCAAGGGUUCCUGUCCAACGUUAAUCGGGGCAGGGUGAGUCGACCCCUAAGGCGAGGCCGAAAGGCGUAGUCGAUGGGAAACAGGUUAAUAUUCCUGUACUUGGUGUUACUGCGAAGGGGGGACGGAGAAGGCUAUGUUGGCCGGGCGACGGUUGUCCCGGUUUAAGCGUGUAGGCUGGUUUUCCAGGCAAAUCCGGAAAAUCAAGGCUGAGGCGUGAUGA